AUGCAAGUCGAGCGAAUGAUGAAGAAGCUUGCUUCUUCUGAUUUAGCGGCGGACGGGUGAGUAACACGUGGGCAACCUACCUAGUAGAUUGGGAUAACUCCGGGAAACCGGGGCUAAUACCGAAUAAUCCAUUUUGUCACAUGGCAAAAUGCUGAAAGGCGGUUUCGGCUGUCACUACUAGAUGGGCCCGCGGUGCAUUAGCUAGUUGGUGGGGUAAUGGCCUACCAAGGCAACGAUGCAUAGCCGACCUGAGAGGGUGAUCGGCCACAUUGGGACUGAGACACGGCCCAAACUCCUACGGGAGGCAGCAGUAGGGAAUCUUCCACAAUGGACGAAAGUCUGAUGGAGCAACGCCGCGUGAGUGAUGAAGGUUUUCGGAUCGUAAAACUCUGUUGUAAGGGAAGAACAAGUACGUUAGUAACUGAACGUACCUUGACGGUACCUUAUUAGAAAGCCACGGCUAACUACGUGCCAGCAGCCGCGGUAAUACGUAGGUGGCAAGCGUUGUCCGGAUUUAUUGGGCGUAAAGCGCGCGCAGGUGGUUUCUUAAGUCUGAUGUGAAAGCCCACGGCUCAACCGUGGAGGGUCAUUGGAAACUGGGAGACUUGAGUGCAGAAGAGGAAAGUGGAAUUCCAAGUGUAGCGGUGAAAUGCGUAGAGAUUUGGAGGAACACCAGUGGCGAAGGCGACUUUCUGGUCUGUAACUGACACUGAGGCGCGAAAGCGUGGGGAGCAAACAGGAUUAGAUACCCUGGUAGUCCACGCCGUAAACGAUGAGU
Molecule: ribosomal RNA, 778 nt
Filed under: Viridibacillus sp.
Lineage: Bacteria; Bacillati; Bacillota; Bacilli; Caryophanales; Caryophanaceae
Description: bacterial SSU rRNA
Rfam family: Bacterial small subunit ribosomal RNA
Source: RNAcentral